Sapajus apella (tufted capuchin) is the source of this 499-nucleotide long non-coding RNA. RefSeq lists it as uncharacterized. Lineage: Eukaryota; Metazoa; Chordata; Mammalia; Primates; Cebidae. The record is from RefSeq and is a predicted model, not a curated record. The transcript is spliced from 3 exons.
ACAGCCAAUCCGACCUAGACCAGUCUUGCUUGGAAAGCCGAGGAUUCCUGGUCCCAUGCCGUGAGGACAAAGUACAAAGAAUGGCAACCCCAUGCGAUAGACUUUUAGGGGUCUGAGACUUUGAUCCAAGUUGUGCUGUGAGGAGCAAGUCGUGCGUUAGUGGAGGGACAGUGUCUUCAUGGAGCGCGCGCGCACGUGUGUACAGAGUCUCGGUCUGAUUUACAUGAAGAUGAAGAAUUCUCAGGAACAGUCUGUGAGGAAAUGAAGGAAGCAUGACUGGGCAGAGUCAGAAGUUGAACUACAAUGCAGUUGCAACAAAGACAAUAGAUGAGGAAAUUGACAAUCAAGGGUUCAGGAAUUUUGUUUUCAAGCUCCCACAGUUAAAGAGGCUACUAUUCCAAUUCUCAUCAUUUUUUCACAAGUCUGACCAACUGUAUCAUGUAUCUUCAUACUAGGCAAUGUGUCAAAUUUUAGUGAUGAACAAAAUAUUAAGAUUUAA